ACUUGUUAAAAAUAUGCCUGGGGGUUUGAGAAGGGGUGCGCGAGCCCCCCAACACACUCCCCCAGCCCCCUCGGGAUUUGGCUUGCGUUCCCCUAGCGGGGACGCGGCCAAGCUCCCGACAACGAACCCCGGCGCUGUCUGCGCCAAGGAACCAUAACUGAAGGGCUGGCCUCCCGGUGUCCCGUUCGCGGCGUGCACGGGAGGCAUUUGCAUCUUUUGAAUCUAAAACGACUCUCGGCAACGGAUAUCUCGGCUCUCGCAUCGAUGAAGAACGUAGCGAAAUGCGAUACUUGGUGUGAAUUGCAGAAUCCCGUGAACCAUCGAGUUUUUGAACGCAAGUUGCGCCCAAAGCCAUUAGGCUAAGGGCACGUCUGCCUGGGCGUCACGCAUCCCGUCGCCACCAACCCCAAUGCCCAGUCGGAUAUUGCGGGAGUUGGGGGCGGAAAUUGGCCUCCCGUUCACGAACGUGCGCGGUUGGCCCAAAAAAUGAGUUCUUGACGAUGGACGUCACGACAAGUGGUGGUUGAAAGACCUCUUGCGUCAUGUCGUGAGGCACCAAGUCUGUAGCGAGCUCUGACCGCGACCCUGUGCACCCUUCUUCACGG
Molecule: ribosomal RNA, 605 nt
Filed under: Ilex cornuta
Lineage: Eukaryota; Viridiplantae; Streptophyta; Magnoliopsida; Aquifoliales; Aquifoliaceae
Description: eukaryotic LSU rRNA
Rfam family: 5.8S ribosomal RNA (bases 230-385)
Source: RNAcentral